GUGAGAAAUCUGAGACCUAAGAAAUUAAGUGAUUGGCCUGUGGGAGAUUUGAAUCCGGUUUUUCUGACUCCAAAGCCUUACCUGUUUCUUCCUAACAUGUUGACUGCCUAUUCUAAGCAUAUACAGUGUUGCAAAUGUCUGACACUGUUCUAGAGCCUCAUCCUCUUUUCACCUCCAACAUGCUCUUGUUUGUGGCCUGGUCGUCAGAGUAUAUGCGCUGGGCUGGGAAACCCUCAUUGGUGGAGACAAAGUGGCAAGAGAGUAAAGGUGGCAAUUUCCAAGGGGACCUCAUUGCACAUCAGACACAAAGUGUGACUCAGGCAUGUGCCUCAACAUAUAAGCCAAGAGAGUGCCAGGCCUUUAAAUAAGAAACACUGGAUGUUUUCUGCAACUUAAAUACAAGGUAUCAGAGCCAGGAGGGUGGCUGACUCUGAUGAUAGAACAAGAGCCAAAUAUGCUCCUGAUGCUCCAGUAGAGUGGUCUUCAGGUGAUCGAGAUUCCGAGCUCCCAAACCAAGGCAAGAAUAAGGAAACUGGAACAGGAGGGCAUGCUGGGCUCCAGCCUCCCGUGACAGUGAAACAUUGCCUUAGAAUGACUGUUGUUAAUACAAUUGAGGAAAUAUAACACGUAAUCUUGUGAUUAAGUUAUACACAAUUUGAUUUAAAUUUAGUUCCUGGCAGUUGCUAGGUUUCACUCUGGCAUACUCUCUCAGUGUGGAAGCUGCUGAUUCAGAAAGAGAUGUUCCAAAGCUCAUGUAUUUCCUGGACACAUCCAAGUACUGAAUAAAAUGCUGGUUAAAUAAAUGAGUUAAUUUUCCAAGAAAGACACCAAUUACUUUUAGAUUCUUUUGCUUUCUUAAGCAGAUGUGUACACAUUCGGAAACAUAAUUGGAGGGAGGAUAGAAUGGGGGAAAACAUGGAACUGCUGGGAGCUCAGUCAGAGACUGAAGAUGAUGCAGAGACUUAUUGAGAGGACCACAUUGGGUGCCUGGAAACUGGAAGAACAAGACACUUGGACUCCUAUUUUUUCACAAGUUGGUAGGAUGGGGACAGAAGCAUGGGAGGUGAAAAC
RNAcentral lists this long non-coding RNA (1071 nucleotides) under Homo sapiens (human). RNAcentral describes it as "HSALNT0272568". The record is from RNAcentral. Lineage: Eukaryota; Metazoa; Chordata; Mammalia; Primates; Hominidae.